CAUGUUUCUUAAUAGUUUUUGUUAUCAGUUAUGUACAUUAGGGUUUUAUGUUACAUCUUCCGUUGUUUAAUGAAUGUUUAUUGCAUUAUUUAAGUAUUGUGGGUUACCAUGAUGGUGUUUUGCGUUUGCGUGAAUGACUCUGUGCACCUUCUUAUAUAAGCAUGUAUUUCAAUUCGUGGAAAAGCUGCUUGUGGUGAACUCUGAUUCUUCAUGUAGCUUUCUCUUUCACCACCUGCAUUAUUAUGAUGGUUGUCAGGAUAUGUUAAAGCCAGAGAAACCCACACCAAGUCAACGAUGAAGAGAGAAUCUGAGUUUCAAAAACCACUUCUCAAAAUAGCACCACAAAACUCCACUUCCGUUCAUAAGAGAAAAUGCUGGACCUUGGACACAAGACAGGAAGUACGUAAAGGGCGUCGGACCAUCACUAAACAUGGAAGGCAGAUCCACUGAAAUUAGAGGGAGCAGUUCUCAAAUUGUCAAUAUGCACACAAUGCUAGUUAAUACCAAUUUAAUGUAAGUCAUGAAUGCUUUUACAUCUAAAUACAGUGUUCAAUUGCCAGGCUAGAG
Megalobrama amblycephala (Wuchang bream) is the source of this 567-nucleotide long non-coding RNA. RefSeq lists it as uncharacterized. NCBI's taxonomy places the organism in Eukaryota, Metazoa, Chordata, Actinopteri, Cypriniformes, Xenocyprididae. The record is from RefSeq and is a predicted model, not a curated record. The transcript is spliced from 3 exons.